This 253-nucleotide ribosomal RNA is filed under the name uncultured bacterium. RNAcentral describes it as "partial 16S ribosomal RNA". It matches the Rfam family "Bacterial small subunit ribosomal RNA", at positions 524 to 776 of the family's 1533-position model. The record is from RNAcentral.
UACGGAGGGUGCAAACGUUGCUCGGAAUCAUUGGGCGUAAAGCGCACGUAGGCGGUCCAGCAAGUCGGGUGUGAAAGCCCUCGGCUUAACCGAGGAAGUGCAUUCGAAACUACUGGACUUGAGUACUGAAGAGGAUCGCGGAAUUCCCGGUGUAGAGGUGAAAUGCGUAGAUAUUGGGAGGAACACCAGUGGCGAAGGCGGCUCACUGGACCGGUUCUGACGCUGAGGCGCGAAAGCGUGGGGAGCAAACGGG